ACUGUCAUCCCACGCCAUCCACCACCGUCAAUCCCCAUCCUCCAUCGCCCACGCUACCCCCGCUGUCCAGUGAGUGGCGGAAACCCCCGCCACUCACCGGAUCUAUUCCCGCCGCUUCUUUCGUCGGGGGAUUCCGGCCCUCGGCUACCUAUGUCCUUGCCUUAUCGCCGAUUCCUACCCUCGGCCGCCUAUGUCCAACCCGGAGUUGCCGGUCAGAACUUGAUUCUUUCAAGACCAGACCAGACCGGAGCUUUUUGUCUAAGUUCGGUGGUGGAUGAGUUAGAACUCACGCCUCUCACCAAGCGAAAUCAAAUCUAGGUGAGCAAGAGAGAAGCUGGAGAAGGAGCAGAGGGAGAGGAAACAGAGGGCGAAGCUCAAGCUAGAUAGAGAGAGAAAGGUCAACCAGGAAGCUGCUCGACAACGGGAAGCAACAUAAGCGAUUCAGCGGCAGCGCCGCCUCGAUGCCGCUGAAGCUGAAUUCAAGGUUAAUUAAUUGCGUUGGAUUUUAGUAAAAUGUGAUCUUUAAUUCAAGCAACGGUUAAUCAAGCAGAGUGUUUCACGUUUUCUACGUAUUCUCAAGGUGAAUCAAAUUAAAGCUUCUGUGCCUUCCUCCUUAUUGCCUUCAGUUCUUGGUACUGGCCCAGUAAUUCGUUUGUCCUAAAUCCGUCCAAGUUUACUUACAGGUUACACCCAUUCCUCUCAUUUUUUUUUUAGUUUCUUCAGAGAGCUAACUUUAGUGCAUUUAUUAAAGCUCUCUGUUAGCUAACAUCAUUCAGCCCCAAGAUUUGAAGGAGCUCUGUUCAGUGCUUGUUGUAUAUUCAAGAGAAACUGCAAGGAUGCUU
Salvia miltiorrhiza (redroot sage) is the source of this 842-nucleotide long non-coding RNA. RefSeq lists it as uncharacterized. The transcript has 4 exons. NCBI's taxonomy places the organism in Eukaryota, Viridiplantae, Streptophyta, Magnoliopsida, Lamiales, Lamiaceae. The record is from RefSeq and is a predicted model, not a curated record.